RNAcentral lists this ribosomal RNA (480 nucleotides) under uncultured bacterium. RNAcentral's name for it is "SSU rRNA". It matches the Rfam family "Bacterial small subunit ribosomal RNA", at positions 26 to 518 of the family's 1533-position model. The record is from RNAcentral.
AGGACGAACGCUGGCGGCGUGCCUAACACAUGCAAGUGGAGCGACGAACCAGGCUUCGGCCUGGGGCAGAGCCGCGAACGGGUGAGUAACACGUGGGUAACCUGCCCUGAUGAUUGGGACAACCCGAGGAAACUCGGGCUAAUACCGAAUGUGCCCUCCGGCCUCAAGGCCGUUGGGGAAAGGAAGCUUCGGCCUCCGCAUCGGGAUGGGCCCGCGGCCCAUUAGCUUGUUGGUGAGGUAACGGCUCACCAAGGCAACGAUGGGUAGCUGGUCUGAGAGGACGAUCAGCCACACUGGGACUGAGACACGGCCCAGACUCCUACGGGAGGCAGCAGUGGGGAAUAUUGGACAAUGGGCGCAAGCCUGAUCCAGCCAUGCCGCGUGGAUGAUGAAGGCCCUAGGGUUGUAAAGUCCUUUCGACGGGGAAGAUAAUGACGGUACCCGUAGAAGAAGCCCGGCUAACUUCGUGCCAGCAGCCGC